This 692-nucleotide long non-coding RNA is filed under the name Anser brachyrhynchus (Pink-footed goose). Its description in RNAcentral is "lncRNA (ENSABRG00000014033.1)". Lineage: Eukaryota; Metazoa; Chordata; Aves; Anseriformes; Anatidae. The record is from RNAcentral.
AUUUAGCUGGCAGAUAAAUUGGUGCAAUAAGUGACCUGACAUUUCUUUCUUGUUCGACCAUGUUGUACAGUGAAAAUUGACAAAAUCUUGUUCCAAUUGAAAAUAUUUUAUCCUGGUUGUGUAGAUGGUUAAUCCUGAAAACGACCCAGAUUUUCCAUCCCAUAGCAGAAGAGCUCAGCUGUGGCUGUGUGCUCGUUAUUCCCAGCUGGCUGGUGUUAUUAUUCGGCUACUCUCAUUUUGGGCUAUUGUUCUAGUUCACCUUAAAACAGCUGCAUUAAAAACAUCUUUGGGAAUGGCAGGGGCACCAUUUUCUGGGCAGUUGAGGACUUCAAAGCAUGACAGCCAAAUAGGCAGAUGGAGUCAAUCUGCAGAAGUCAGCUCAAAAUCAAUAAGACGAUACAUUUCAGCUGCCACUGAGCAAUGUCACACAUGGAGAAAAUGGGAUGUCGACUCUGCCCAGUUGUGUCAAACAUUUAGAAAGAAGAGAGGAAAAAGACUGCAUGGUAAGAAACAGGUGGCAACUGUUGCUGUUGAAUCCAGCUCUAUGGAAGGACAUGGGAGGGAUUUUUUUAAGAAUUUAGACAUAGUGAAGCUCUGCAAGGUAAAUAAUCCAAUAAAAAUCAGCCCAUCAAAAAGGCAUGAUGAGUUAGGCACAACGAUUAACUGAGCUUUGCCUUUAUGUUAUCCAUGCA